UGGGGAAUUUUGGACAAUGGGGGCAACCCUGAUCCAGCAAUGCCGCGUGUGUGAAGAAGACCUUCGGGUUGUAAAGCACUUUUGUCCGGAAAGAAAACGCCGUGGUUAAUACCCGUGGCGGAUGACGGUACCGGAAGAAUAAGCACCGGCUAACUACGUGCCAGCAGCCGCGGUAAUACGUAGGGUGCAAGCGUUAAUCGGAAUUACUGGGCGUAAAGCGUGCGCAGGCGGUCCGCUAAGACAGAUGUGAAAUCCCCGGGCUUAACCUGGGAACUGCAUUUGUGACUGGCGGGCUAGAGUAUGGCAGAGGGGGGUAGAAUUCCACGUGUAGCAGUGAAAUGCGUAAGAGAUGUGGAGGAAUACCGAUGGCGAAGGCAGCCCCCUGGGCCAAUAC
This 394-nucleotide ribosomal RNA is filed under the name uncultured bacterium. RNAcentral's name for it is "partial 16S ribosomal RNA". It matches the Rfam family "Bacterial small subunit ribosomal RNA", at positions 355 to 740 of the family's 1533-position model. The record is from RNAcentral.